CCUACGGGAGGCAGCAGUGGGGAAUAUUGCACAAUGGGGGGAACCUUGAUGCAGCAACGCCGCGUGGGUGAAGAAGUACUCCGGUAUGUAACGCCCUGUCAGCAGGGAAGAAAAUUACGGUACAUGACCAAUAAGCCACGUCUAACUACGUGCCAGCAGCCGCGGUAAUACGUCGGGGGCCAGCGUUAUCCGGAUGUACUGGGUGUAAAGGGAGCGUAGACGGCCAGGCAAGUCUGGAGUGAAAGACCGUGGCCCAACCAUGGGACUGCGUUGGAAACUGGGUUGCUGGAGUGCAGGAUGGGUAAGCGGAAUUCCUAGUGUAGCGGUGAAAUGCGUAGAUAUUAGGAGGAACACCGGUGGCGAAGGCGGCUUACUGGACUGUAACUGACGUUGAGGCUCGAAGGCGUGGGGAGCAAACAGGAUUAGAUACCCCGGUAGUC
RNAcentral lists this ribosomal RNA (440 nucleotides) under uncultured bacterium. RNAcentral's name for it is "partial 16S ribosomal RNA". It matches the Rfam family "Bacterial small subunit ribosomal RNA", at positions 338 to 795 of the family's 1533-position model. The record is from RNAcentral.